Molecule: long non-coding RNA, 928 nt
Organism: Cucurbita moschata (crookneck pumpkin)
Lineage: Eukaryota; Viridiplantae; Streptophyta; Magnoliopsida; Cucurbitales; Cucurbitaceae
Exons: 6
Source: RefSeq, a predicted model, not a curated record
AGUUUGUCGAUGGAAGCUUUCCAUCGGAAAAAGAAGAAGAAGAGGAAAUUCGAGAAUGAAAUUGAAGGGGAGAGGAGGAGAUCGAUUUCAAAACCUAGAGUGAUCAUUGCGGUAUCCGGUUCCAUCAUCGACAACGCGAUCCCUCGAGAUUGCCACUAGAUUGGCUGGUCAAAUUGCUCGUGCGGCAACCAUAUUCCGAAUUGACGAGGUAGUGGUAUUCGACAGUGGAAGGAGUUCGGUGACUGCUCGGAUGUUGCGGCAGCGGACAAUUCUGAUGAGGAUGAAAGUGGCGCUGCUUUUCUUAUAAGGAUCUUGAAGUAUCUUGAGACUCCACAAUACUUGAGAAAAGCUCUUUUUCCAAAGCACAACAAUCUAAGAUUUGUGGGGAUGCUGCCACCGCUGGAUGCUCUUCACCAUUUGCGCAAGCAUGAAUGGAGUCCAUAUCGAGAAGCAUUAUUAGGAAAUUAUUGUUUGCAAAAACUGUGCUGAGGAAUGAAGAAGCCAAAUUCUAGUGUCUGCUUGAUUUCUUGGUUUCCUGCCAGCAGUCAUUUCCAGCUACCAUAAGCUUUGUCCAUCUCUUUCUCCUACAAAUUUUUCUUCUUGGUAUAGCAUCAAGAAAGGCUCCCAGUGCCCAAGCUUAAUUUUUUUGGUCCGCAGUGUUGUAUGAUGCUCUAGUUGACUAUAUCCGAAGUGGUGGCAAAAGGACACUCAAAGUCGAAAUGAAAUGGAAAGUGAAGAAGAAUACGCAAGGAUGAAAAAUUGAGACAAGGGUACCGUGAUGGCAGCACAGAGGUGGAGGAGACGACAAAAUGUAAGAAAUGGAAAAGAACAUAACAUAUCUGCUUUAUUUUAACAAGUUUUAUGGUAACUUGAAGUACAGGUAAUAGAACAUCCACUCCAAUCAAUAUAAACAAGCUUUCCAAGCUAA